GACGAACGCUGGCGGCGUGCCUAAUACAUGCAAGUUGAGCGCUGAAGGUUGGUACUUGUACCAACUGGAUGAGCAGCGAACGGGUGAGUAACGCGUGGUGAAUCUGCCUUUGAGCGGGGGACAACAUUUGGAAACGAAUGCUAAUACCGCAUAAAAACUUUAAACACAAGUUUUAAGUUUGAAAGAUGCAAUUGCAUCACUCAAAGAUGAUCCCGCGUUGUAUUAGCUAGUUGGUGAGGUAAGGGCUCACCAAGGCGAUGAUACAUAGCCGACCUGAGAGGGUGGUCGGCGACAUUGGGAGUGGGACACGGCCAAAACUCCUACGGGAGGCAGCAGUAGGGAAUCUUCGGCAAUGGACGAAAGUCUGACCGAGCAACGCCGCGUGAGAGAAGAAGGUUUUCGGAUCGUAAAACUCUGUUGGUAGAGAAGAACGUUGGUGAGAGUGGAAAGCUCAUCAAGUGACGGUAACUACACAGAAAGAGACGGCUAACUACGUG
RNAcentral lists this ribosomal RNA (497 nucleotides) under uncultured bacterium. Its description in RNAcentral is "partial 16S ribosomal RNA". It matches the Rfam family "Bacterial small subunit ribosomal RNA", at positions 28 to 507 of the family's 1533-position model. The record is from RNAcentral.